GACGAACGCUGGCGGCGUGCCUAAUACAUGCAAGUCGAACGCAGCGGCGGACGGGUGAGUAAUGCCUAGGAAUCUGCCUGGUAGUGGGGGAUAACGUCCGGAAACGGGCGCUAAUACCGCAUACUAUCAGAUGAGCCAAGGUCGGAGUAGCUAGCUGGUGGGGUAAAGGCCUACCAAGGCGACGAUCCGUAACUGGUCUGAGAGGAUGAUCAGUCACACUGGAACUGAGACACGGUCCAGACUCCUACGGGAGGCAGCAGUGGGGAAUAUUGGACAAUGGGCGAAAGCCUGAUCCAGCCAUGCCGCGUGUGUGAAGAAGGUCUUCGGAUUGUAAAGCACUUUAAGUUGGGAGGCGUUACCAACAGAAUAAGCACCGGCUAACUUCGUGCCAACCGCCGCGGUAAUUC
RNAcentral lists this ribosomal RNA (407 nucleotides) under uncultured bacterium. RNAcentral describes it as "partial 16S ribosomal RNA". It matches the Rfam family "Bacterial small subunit ribosomal RNA", at positions 28 to 526 of the family's 1533-position model. The record is from RNAcentral.